CAGCAGCCGCGGUAAUACGAAGGGGGCUAGCGUUGCUCGGAAUGACUGGGCGUAAAGGGCGCGUAGGCGGGUGGCACAGUCAGAUGUGAAAUUCCUGGGCUUAACCUGGGGGCUGCAUUUGAUACGUGUUGUCUAGAGUGUGAAGAGGGUCGUGGAAUUCCCAGUGUAGAGGUGAAAUUCGUAGAUAUUGGGAAGGACACCGGUGGCGAAGGCGGCGACCUGGUCCAUUACUGACGCUGAGGCGCGAAAGCGCGGGGAGCAAACAGGAUUAGAUACCCCUGUAGUCCCUGUCUCUUAUACA
This 301-nucleotide ribosomal RNA is filed under the name uncultured bacterium. RNAcentral's name for it is "partial 16S ribosomal RNA". It matches the Rfam family "Bacterial small subunit ribosomal RNA", at positions 509 to 808 of the family's 1533-position model. The record is from RNAcentral.